GGAAAGGCAUUCAGUUUUCCCAGUUCAUUUAGAAUACUUCAAAGAACUCACACAGGAGAGAAACCCUAUGAAUGUAAACAAUGUGGCAGAGCCUUCAGUUGUUAUGCAUCCUUUCGAACACAUGAAAAAACUCACACUGGAGAGAAACCUUAUGACUGUACAGAAUGUGGGAAAGCCUUUAUUUAUUGCACUACCUUUCAAGGACACAUGAAAAUACACACUGGCGAGAAACACUACAAAUGUAGAGAAGGUGGGAAAGCCUUCAGUCGACCCAGUUCCUUUCGAAGGCAUGAAAGAUCUCAUACUUAAUGGAAACUUCUUGAAUGUAAGCAAUGUGGGGAAAACAUCAGUUGGCCUUCAUUCUUACAUGGGAAAACUCCCACUGGAAAGAAACCCUAUAUGUGUAAGAAAUCUGAGAAAGCCUGAUACAAAUUAAUCCAUGUAUAAUGUUCCAGAAAAAAAUAACAUGAAAGAAUAAUUUUUAGAGUUACAUCGUCUUUAUCAGUGCCUCAUUCUUAAAGGGGAUCUCUCGACUGGAUAUUUACUACUUACGUUCAAAAAUGAACACUGAAGUGAGAUAAUUCGCGUCAUGUGGCCAGAACCCACUGGGAUCACACCAGCAGUCAACAAGAGUGGUGUCAUAAAUUGUAGUACUCAGACUGACCACAAACCCUAAAUGACUGGAUUUAUCAGUAAGGGUACUCAAAAGGAUUUACAAUUUGGCUUUUGGUAGGUGAUUUGAUUACUCUUCAGGGAAGCAAGAUGUUUCUGGAUGUACUGGAUGCUGCAAGAAGGUGAACUUAAUUCUAUCAUAGGAACUUCUUGGGUGUGGAAGUAAAUAGAGGGCAGCAGUGUAGAAAGUCCUGCUUUCUUUGAUUAACAGUAAAGAUUCGCCAUAAAGGUAAAGAUAUAAUAUGGUUCAUCUUCAUUUUUGCAGUUUCCUGUAUACAACAUGUGAUCAUGAGUUUGGACAUAGGUUUCUGGGACUUGAGACUUUCCUUUGAUCUGGCCACAGAUAUUUGUGGCAUCCAUCGUUUAAGAAACUAUUCACUUUAACUAUUUCAAGUUUUAUAUUUGGCAUUUUCAUUUGGCUUGUAUACUGACUGAAACAGUAUAUACUCUAUUAAACCCUGGAGUUCCCCCCAGUCUGAGAAAAGGUUAUGUUCAUCUGCACUGUUCUAGCCUAGCCUGAGUUUAUACUGUGAGUAGAGUGAUAUUUAUGUAAGUCUACUGUGACUUCCUGGUGGAAACAACAAAAAGAGCUAUGGAUGUUUAGAAGGCAAUCAUCCAAGGAAUAAUUGAGGUGAGCUACAGAGAGAGGGUAUCAUUUUGAGUAAUAUCCUAAUUUAAUGUGAAAGGAGAUAGUGGAAAAUUUUAAUGCCUUUCUGUAAGAGAAUUGGUUGAAAGCUUUUUUUUUUCAGUGACCCACAAAGCCUCAUAUCCCAUCUUACUGUUCACAGGUAUCAUUUCUAUAUGCUUAGACUUAAAGCACAUAUUCUAGAGUAGGAGGAUACAAAAGUAACAGCUCUGAGUUUUAUUAAAGAGCAAAGGAAAGCCAAAUUCUGUCCAUUUUUAGUGCUAACUUACAUUUUCUUAGCACUGUAAAGAUUGUCAUUUCAUAAUUAUUAGUCUCCCUUUUGACGUCCCUGCAAGUCAUUCCUUCCAUCAUUCCUAACGUCUUAACGAGAAGGUUAACCAUGGUAGAAGAGGUUAUUACCCAAACGUACAGAGCUCACAGUAAUGGAAUCUCAGUUUUGAAAGCCUAAUGUAUGCCAC
Delphinapterus leucas (beluga whale) is the source of this 1776-nucleotide non-coding RNA. The record is from RefSeq and is a predicted model, not a curated record. NCBI's taxonomy places the organism in Eukaryota, Metazoa, Chordata, Mammalia, Artiodactyla, Monodontidae.